This 64-nucleotide transfer RNA is filed under the name Oratosquilla oratoria. Its description in RNAcentral is "tRNA-Cys". It matches the Rfam family "tRNA". Rfam says of the family: Transfer RNA (tRNA) molecules are approximately 80 nucleotides in length. Their secondary structure includes four short double-helical elements and three loops (D, anti-codon, and T loops). Lineage: Eukaryota; Metazoa; Arthropoda; Malacostraca; Stomatopoda; Squillidae. The record is from RNAcentral.
AGUUCUAUAGUUUUAAUUAAAACAUCAGACUGCAAUUCUGAAGAUGCAUACAUUGUUAGGGCUU